This is a long non-coding RNA of Planococcus citri (citrus mealybug), 359 nucleotides long. RefSeq lists it as uncharacterized. Lineage: Eukaryota; Metazoa; Arthropoda; Insecta; Hemiptera; Pseudococcidae. The transcript has 3 exons. The record is from RefSeq and is a predicted model, not a curated record.
GUUAGCAAUUAUUUGUUUAGGAUACAGAUUAUUUCAGUAUCUACGAUCAAAUUAAAGUUAAAUUGGUUUCCAAGAAAUUUCCUUCAAGUAGGCAUACUUGUUUUCCGAAUAUGUAUUCCACUACAUACCUCUCAUAAGUGGACGAAACAUGCGACAUACUUCAACUAAACCGCAUGUUCACCAUCAAAAAAAAUGCAGAAAAUGUUAUCAAGAUUGUAAAGAUGAACAAAUUGAGCACAAUGAAUAAAACCGAUAGCUGUCGUUUCUCACAAACCUUCGUCGCUAACGAAUGAUAAACAAUUCCAGGAAAUUUAAUGGUAAUACGACAAAUCAUUCAUUAAGAACUUUUCAUUAACGCG